AGGGCUGGGCCCGGGACGCGG
RNAcentral lists this microRNA (21 nucleotides) under Mus musculus (house mouse). RNAcentral describes it as "mmu-miR-7648-3p". Lineage: Eukaryota; Metazoa; Chordata; Mammalia; Rodentia; Muridae. The record is from miRBase by way of RNAcentral.